Molecule: ribosomal RNA, 1346 nt
Filed under: uncultured bacterium
Lineage: Bacteria
Description: partial 16S ribosomal RNA
Rfam family: Bacterial small subunit ribosomal RNA
Source: RNAcentral
GACGAACGCUGGCGGCGUGCUUAACACAUGCAAGUCGAACGGAAAGGCCCUGCUUUUGUGGGGUGCUCGAGUGGCGAACGGGUGAGUAACACGUGAGUAACCUGCCCUUGACUUUGGGAUACCUUCAGGAAACUGGGGCUAAUACCGGAUAGGAGCUCCUGCUGCAUGGUGGGGGUUGGAAAGUUUCGGCGGUUGGGGAUGGACUCGCGGCUUAUCAGCUUGUUGGUGGGGUAGUGGCUUACCAAGGCUUUGACGGGUAGCCGGCCUGAGAGGGUGACCGGCCACAUUGGGACUGAGAUACGGCCCAGACUCCUACGGGAGGCAGCAGUGGGGAAUAUUGCACAAUGGGCGGAAGCCUGAUGCAGCAACGCCGCGUGCGGGAUGACGGCCUUCGGGUUGUAAACCGCUUUCGCCUGUGACGAAUCGUGAGUGACGGUAAUGGGUAAAGAAGCACCGGCUAACUACGUGCCAGCAGCCGCGGUGAUACGUAGGGUGCGAGCGUUGUCCGGAUUUAUUGGGCGUAAAGGGCUCGUAGGUGGUUGAUCGCGUCGGAAGUGUAAUCUUGGGGCUUAACCCUGAGCGUGCUUUCGAUACGGGUUGACUUGAGGAAUUUAGGGGAGAAUGGAAUUCCUGGUGGAGCGGUGGAAUGCGCAGAUAUCAGGAGGAACACCAGUGGCGAAGGCGGUUCUCUGGGCCUUUCCUGACGCUGAGGAGCGAAAGCGUGGGGAGCGAACAGGCUUAGAUACCCUGGUAGUCCACGCUGUAAACGGUGGGUACUAGGUGUGGGGUCCAUUCCACGGAUUCCGUGCCGUAGCUAACGCUUUAAGUACCCCGCCUGGGGAGUACGGCCGCAAGGCUAAAACUCAAAGGAAUUGACGGGGCCCCGCACAAGCGGCGGAGCAUGCGGAUUAAUUCGAUGCAACGCGUAGAACCUUACCUGGGUUUGACAUGGAUCGGGAGUGCUCAGAGAUGGGUGUGCCUCUUUUGGGGUCGGUUCACAGGUGGUGCAUGGCUGUCGUCAGCUCGUGUCGUGAGAUGUUGGGUUAAGUCCCGCAACGAGCGCAACCCUUGUUCACUGUUGCCAGCACGUUAUGGUGGGGACUCAGUGGAGACCGCCGGGGUCAACUCGGAGGAAGGUGGGGAUGACGUCAAGUCAUCAUGCCCCUUAUGUCCAGGGCUUCACGCAUGCUACAAUGGCUGGUACAGAGAGUGGCGAGCCUGUGAGGGUGAGCGAAUCUCGGAAAGCCGGUCUCAGUUCGGAUUGGGGUCUGCAACUCGACCUCAUGAAGUCGGAGUCGCUAGUAAUCGCAGAUCAGCAACGCUGCGGUGAAUACGUUCCCGGGGCU